Molecule: ribosomal RNA, 271 nt
Filed under: Francisella tularensis subsp. holarctica
Lineage: Bacteria; Pseudomonadati; Pseudomonadota; Gammaproteobacteria; Thiotrichales; Francisellaceae
Description: partial 23S ribosomal RNA
Rfam family: Bacterial large subunit ribosomal RNA
Source: RNAcentral
AAAGGUAACGGAGGCGCUCAAAGGUUCCCUCAGAAUGGUUGGAAAUCAUUCACAGAGUGUAAAGGCAUAAGGGAGCUUGACUGCGAGACCUACAAGUCGAGCAGGGUCGAAAGACGGACUUAGUGAUCCGGUGGUUCCGCAUGGAAGGGCCAUCGCUCAACGGAUAAAAGCUACCCCGGGGAUAACAGGCUUAUCUCCCCCAAGAGUUCACAUCGACGGGGAGGUUUGGCACCUCGAUGUCGGCUCAUCGCAUCCUGGGGCUGUAGUCGGU